ACCUUCGUGGUGUAGUGGUCAGCACGCUCGGCGCGUAUUCGAGAGGUCCGUGGUUCGAUUCCCGGCGAGGGUA
RNAcentral lists this transfer RNA (73 nucleotides) under Stegodyphus mimosarum. It matches the Rfam family "tRNA". From Rfam's summary of the family: Transfer RNA (tRNA) molecules are approximately 80 nucleotides in length. Their secondary structure includes four short double-helical elements and three loops (D, anti-codon, and T loops). The record is from Rfam by way of RNAcentral. Lineage: Eukaryota; Metazoa; Arthropoda; Arachnida; Araneae; Eresidae.